AAAUUGAAGAGUUUGAUCAUGGCUCAGAUUGAACGCUGGCGGCAGGCCUAACACAUGCAAGUCGAACGGUAACAGGAAGCAGCUUGCUGCUUCGCUGACAAGUGGCGGACGGGUGAGUAAUGUCUGGGAAACUGCCUGAUGGAGGGGGAUAACUACUGGAAACGGUGGCUAAUACCGCAUGACGUCGCAAGACCAAAGAGGGGGACCUUCGGGCCUCUUGCCAUCAGAUGUGCCCAGAUGGGAUUAGCUUGUUGGUGAGGUAACGGCUCACCAAGGCGACGAUCCCUAGCUGGUCUGAGAGGAUGACCAGCCACACUGGAACUGAGACACGGUCCAGACUCCUACGGGAGGCAGCAGUGGGGAAUAUUGCACAAUGGGCGCAAGCCUGAUGCAGCCAUGCCGCGUGUAUGAAGAAGGCCUU
This 421-nucleotide ribosomal RNA is filed under the name Salmonella enterica. RNAcentral's name for it is "bacterial SSU rRNA". It matches the Rfam family "Bacterial small subunit ribosomal RNA", at positions 1 to 418 of the family's 1533-position model. The record is from RNAcentral. Lineage: Bacteria; Pseudomonadati; Pseudomonadota; Gammaproteobacteria; Enterobacterales; Enterobacteriaceae. RNAcentral also lists the same sequence under 2 other names.